CACAACGACCUCAACAAAACCCAUACCCAUUUCCUCCUCUAUCUCCAGAGGCCGAAACGGCAGAAGCCAUUUCCGAAAUGGAAACCAAACCCUCUCGGCAAACUCCACCCUCUCUGUCUCCGACCCGGCGAGACCCGAGCGAUCCCUCACUCUGCCACGAUGCUGCGCCGAGCCACGACUCUCUUAACCCAAUCAGCCAUCCCCUUAGUGCCAGUCCCUUCUCCACCGACGUCGCUGCGACUGCCCCAGCCGAUUCUACUUCUGGAAGAAAGUGGUGCCUCACAUAGAACCCCCCAAGCUACGAUGCAUGGACACGGGGAAAACUCAACGUAUCCCGUAUCUGACACGCAGGGAUACGGAUACGUACAAAAUACGUGUGGAUACGCGCCCGAUACGUAUCGGAACGAAGGGAUACGUUCUUUAUUACCAAGAUACGCGUAUCAUAUCGUCGAGAUACGCGUAUCAUAUUUUUCGGAUACGUUUCAAGCAAAAUCAGAGGAUAAUCAGAAAAAAAAUCUAGAUCCGCACAGAAUCGUGAUUGAUUCGAAUUAGAUAACUGAAACGAUUGUUUAACUAAAAACCAAAACGAUUUCGAACCUCAGAAAUCAGACUCAUCUGCAAUUGCUCCGUCCGUCCGUCGUCUCUAUCGUCUCCGUCUGCAACUGCUCCAUCGUCUCCAUCGUCUCCGUCUGCAACUGCUCCAUCGUCUCCAUCGUCUCCGUCUGCAACUCCUGGAAAAUGAAUCAUCCUGAUAAUCAUGCGAAUGCUAAUGUCAACCUAGUUGAGAAUGUUGAAAAUGAUCAUGGUACACUAUGGAAGUAUGUCAAAAAGCUCGAAAGAGUGGAAAAUGGAAGAGGAGGUAGUGUGUUUCAAUGCAAUUAUUGUCAAAAGAUUUUCAGAGGAUCCUACUCUAGGAUCAAGUUUCAUUUGUUAAAAGUGUCUGGAAAUGGGAUCGUCUCUUGCAAUAAGGUUACUGAUGAAGCUCUUGCAUAAAUGAAAAAGCUAGCUCGAGAAUGAGGGACUCUUUCUUUUUAUUUUUUAAGUCGUUUGGAUGUUCUUUUUAGUUUUUCAAGUUUGAAGACUAAUUUGUUUAGUGGAUUAUCUUUUAAAUGUUUGAAGUUUAUCGAAAUAAAUUUGAACUUGAAUAGUAUAUUUGAAUGCUUAUUUUAUAAUAUUUAGAUAUAUUUAUUUAUUUA
Molecule: long non-coding RNA, 1196 nt
Organism: Malus domestica (apple)
Lineage: Eukaryota; Viridiplantae; Streptophyta; Magnoliopsida; Rosales; Rosaceae
Source: RefSeq, a predicted model, not a curated record